Molecule: long non-coding RNA, 1524 nt
Organism: Bombyx mori (domestic silkworm)
Lineage: Eukaryota; Metazoa; Arthropoda; Insecta; Lepidoptera; Bombycidae
Exons: 2
Source: RefSeq, a predicted model, not a curated record
AAUAACAUUUUUUACAUUUUUUGUCUGUCCGUCUGUUUGUUCCGGCUAAUCUCUGGAACGGCUGGACCGAUUUUCAUGAGACUUUCACUGAUAGGUAGUUGAUGAUAUAAGGAGUAACUUUGCUACUUUUUUAGAGUAGCUUCGCCCCGCGGCGUCACCCGCAAUACGAUAAUUAUAUCAAUAAUAAAAUUUAAUGUUUCCGAAGCGAAACAAGGGCGGGUCGCUAGUACCAAAUAAAACACACCUUUACAAAAAUAAAUGUCACGUAUUAAGCGAUGCGAGCAUGUUUUAUGAUCUAUUACUUACUACUAGCUUACGUAUCGACACGACGAGUUCGAGUUCAUCGUCUUGUAACGGUUGCGGGAGUCGCCUUCAGUAAUUUAAUUAAUUAGUUCAUUCGAUUGUUUCCAUUCAUUCAAUACCACCUUCGAUCAAUAAUACUACUAGAUUCGCGAUUAGCGCUUCAAAAGCGGCCCGAAAAAUAAGACCACAAAUAAAUUUGUGGUCUUAUUUCAAAUUAGUAUGGUCCAAUCAUAGCCAACACUAAGACGUCAAAACGCUGCAAUGCGCGUUCAAAAACUGAGUAAAAAACCACCGUAACACCAAGGUUUUGGAAGGAAUAUCUUUUUUUGAUUUCCUAGUAGCCCCUUGUCGCUGUGCACAAUGGAUAUAUAUUGUCGCGAAAGAAAGAGGAGAAGAAAUAUAGAACUCUUAUAAAAAUUCUAGAAUUGUUCAAUGGUGGUGGCAAAUCAAUGCAAAAAAGUAUUAAAAAAACUUUAUAUGUAUGUGUAAAUAUUUUAAGCGUAUAUGCUGAAAAGGAUUUGUUUUCUGGGGGAAACGAACACAGCCAUAAAAUAAGCCUAAAUUAAACUGAUUAUAGAAAAAUUCAUUGAUAUAAGAUUACAUUAUAUUUGUAAAAAAGAAACCGCUCAUAUAAAAAUGACUUCUAAAAGACAGCUUUAUAACAAACUGAAUCUGUUUAAAGUUAAUUAAACCUACAUUAUUGUUUUAAUUACUUCUGUAUAAAGAAUACGUGGAAAACAUGUUUCGUGUUUCCUUUCAUAUUUUUUUUACUUUAUUCAAUUUUAUUUUUUAUCACCUAUUUGUUGUAAUAGCGGCAAUGUAAAAUAUUAUCUACUACUUUUUUGAAUCGGUCAAAAAUAGUUGCGACCAUACAAAACAAACCUAAAACAAAUAUGUAUAUUCUGCAACUCUAUGUCUUUCAAUACUUACUGUGUUCUGAGCAUUGAAAUGUAAUACCAAGAACUACAUCUAGUUUCACAAUACAAUAAGCACGAAAUUUUAAACAAAUAUUUUUAACCUUAUAAAUUAGGCUUUAAGUAUCAUUUUAGAAUAAAUAUUUUUGUACUGAUGACUUUUUAUGUUCAAGUGACAUUUUAAAUUUAUUCCAUAAUAUUCUUUUUCUGACGAAAGGACCUAAAUACAUAUAUUUUGCAAUGGUAAUUAAACUUUAUGUUUAAGUAUUAAGGUUUAUAAUAAACUGAAGUCGUUAACAUUAUUAAA